Puccinia sorghi is the source of this 88-nucleotide non-coding RNA. NCBI's taxonomy places the organism in Eukaryota, Fungi, Basidiomycota, Pucciniomycetes, Pucciniales, Pucciniaceae. The record is from the annotation of a GenBank genome assembly.
GAGCAGAUAGCCUAGUGGUAAAGGUAUCACUCCUAGUAAAGUGAAUUAUCUGAUGCUGAGGUCCCAGUUUCAAAACCUGGUCUGGUCA